This 468-nucleotide ribosomal RNA is filed under the name uncultured bacterium. RNAcentral describes it as "partial 16S ribosomal RNA". It matches the Rfam family "Bacterial small subunit ribosomal RNA", at positions 28 to 507 of the family's 1533-position model. The record is from RNAcentral.
GACGAACGCUGGCGGCGUGCUUAACACAUGCAAGUCGAACGGAAAGGCCCUGCUUUUGUGGGGUGCUCGAGUGGCGAACGGGUGAGUAACACGUGAGUAACCUGCCCUUGACUUUGGGAUAACUUCAGGAAACUGGGGCUAAUACCGGAUAUGAGCUCCUGCUGCAUGGUGGGGGUUGGAAAGUUUCGGCGGUUGGGGCUGGACUCGCGGCUUAUCAGCUUGUUGGGGGGGUAGUGGCUUACCAAGGCUUUGACGGGUAGCCGGCCUGAGAGGGUGACCGGUCACAUUGGGACUGAGAUACGGACCAGACUCCUACGGGAGGCAGCAGGGGGGAAUAUUGCACAAUGGGCGGAAGCCUGAUGCAGCAACGCCGCGUGCGGGAUGACGGCCUUCGGGUUGUAAACCGCUUUCGCCGGUGACGAAGCGUGAGUGACGGUAAUGGGUAAAGAAGCAACGGCUAACUACGUG